RNAcentral lists this unclassified non-coding RNA (403 nucleotides) under Hevea brasiliensis (rubber tree). Lineage: Eukaryota; Viridiplantae; Streptophyta; Magnoliopsida; Malpighiales; Euphorbiaceae. The record is from RNAcentral.
UUCUUAAUAAUAUUAUAAGGCUAUUGAAAAAGGAACCAAAAUUUUUUGAUCAUUCACAAAUAUUUUAUGAAUUUUAUUUUAAACCUGAUAUGAGGUAAAAAUUGAGCAAUUUAGAGUUUGGAUUUACCUAUGUAAAAUCUGACACCUGCAUCGUAUCCAGAAGGUCUGGAAAUGUUAGGAUUGAUCCAUCAUGUUUCAAGACAGGCCGUCAAACAGUCAAAUCUGACAAAAUGCGGCUCCCAGCUAAUGAACUAUUAUCGAUCUGAUUGUACCAACGGCCUUGACCGUCCUUUUCAAACGCUUCUGAUCGGUGCAGGACAGAUUUUAUUUCGAAGAUUUCGUCACCCUGAAUCCAUCAGUGGUCUCGAAUUUUUAAUCUAAAGGGAGGAUCGCUGGAAAAGUG